RNAcentral lists this ribosomal RNA (468 nucleotides) under uncultured bacterium. RNAcentral's name for it is "partial 16S ribosomal RNA". It matches the Rfam family "Bacterial small subunit ribosomal RNA", at positions 28 to 507 of the family's 1533-position model. The record is from RNAcentral.
GAUGAACGCUGGCGGCGUGCUUAACACAUGCAAGUCGAACGGUGAAGGCGGAGCUUUCUCUGCUGGAUCAGUGGCGAACGCGUGUGUAUCACGUGUGCAAUCUGCCCCUGACUCUCUGAUAUGCCCUGGAAACGGCGUCUAAUACUCGAUACGAUCUGCUAAUGCAUCUUCAUCAGCUGUUAAGAAUGUCGGUAGGGGAUGGGCUCGCGGCCUCUCAGCUUGUUGGUGAGGUAAUGGCUCACCAAGGGUUCGACGGGUAGCCGGCCUGGGAGGGUGAACGGGGACAAUGGGACUGAGAGAGGGCGCAGACGGCAACGGGAGGCAGCAGUGGGGAAUAUUGCAGAAUGGGGGAAAGCGAGAUGCAGAAACGCCGCGAGAGGGAAGAAGGGCUACGGGUUGUAAACAAAUGUGAGAAGGGAAGAAGAGAAAGUGACGGUACCUGAAGAAAAAGCGACGGCUAACUACGUG